This is a long non-coding RNA of Ornithodoros turicata, 446 nucleotides long. RefSeq lists it as uncharacterized. Lineage: Eukaryota; Metazoa; Arthropoda; Arachnida; Ixodida; Argasidae. The record is from RefSeq and is a predicted model, not a curated record. The transcript is spliced from 6 exons.
CAUGCGACAAGUUUGCUCCACAUUUUGACUCUGCGCCGCCGUGCUUCACCCUCGCCCCUCGCCUCGUCACGAAGGAGUCAUCGCCAUUAGCAUCAUCGGAAUGUCGUUGGAACCGUUGCAAGACGUUUGAACGGUCUCCGCGCUCGCUCGUCCAUUUGUGAACAAAGGAGGCCGUGAUUUUGCGUCGUAUGGGCGGCUGCAGUGUUGCGUCCCGUCAGGCCAUGAAAGAAGGAAGGAGGAUAUGAUUUUGCGUCGUAAUGGGUUUUUGUUGUUUGUUCGGAGCAGCGGCUGCAGUGUUGCGUCCCGUCAGGCUCUACUUUGUUGAACACUAAGCUGGACACAUAUCUCUCCAGCGCUUCAGAGACGUCGCUGGCGCCGAAAUUCUAGCUGUUUCACCGUGGGUCGCCAGAAGAACAGCAGAUCAUUGACUCUAUUGUGCGACGCGA